Tachysurus vachellii is the source of this 373-nucleotide long non-coding RNA. RefSeq lists it as uncharacterized. Lineage: Eukaryota; Metazoa; Chordata; Actinopteri; Siluriformes; Bagridae. The transcript is spliced from 2 exons. The record is from RefSeq and is a predicted model, not a curated record.
GGAUGACGGCUGCACGGUAGUUGUUUCAACUAGCGAAAUUAAGGACUUUAACUACGACAUGUUUGACCAAACUCAGGUUUAUUGGGUACGAUGGAAGCAAGACUUCUUCAGGGCACAAAUACUGAUGCUUAAAGAGAAUAAAGAAGACAUAGAGCAGGAGUUGUCUAAAGGCAAACGACUCCGGGUAGCACCUCUUAAAAAAACAUGGUCGUCGCCACCACAUACUACUUGUUACUCGCUAAAAGAGAGAGCGGAAGCUAAGACCAAAAAUGUGUGUUGUAAAGGUUAUAUUGUGUAACGUUAUUUGUGCACGUGUGUAUCUUACAGUGUGAUGGCAAAUGUCAUUGUCCAAUAAAUAUUUUAAACAAACUUA